Pelobates cultripes (western spadefoot toad) is the source of this 276-nucleotide non-coding RNA. Lineage: Eukaryota; Metazoa; Chordata; Amphibia; Anura; Pelobatidae. The record is from the annotation of a GenBank genome assembly.
UUUAAAUAAUGGGUUAGGGGUAUCUAAAACUCUGAUCCAGAAGUUAAACAUGACAGGGGAAUACCUAGCCAGGCCAAAGUGUCCUCCCUGAUUAUAGUGCUAGAGUAGGGGAUUAGAUCCCAGGCAAAAUUAGCGCUAAUACCAUCAUCCCAAUGAAAAGUGUUGAUUCCCCUGAAAUGAAAUGGUUUCUGAAAUGCCCCAAUAUAUACUACCUGGGCCAUUUGAAUAACUGGACAAUGCACAUUAAUGAAUUAACACAUUAAUAAGUAAACCCCA